ACUGGGCGCGGUGGCACGUGCCUAUAGUCCCAUCCACUCGGGAGGCUGAGGCCGGAGGAUCUUUCGAGUCCAGGAAUUCUGGGCGGGUGUUGCACUAAGUUCAGCAUCAGUAUGGUGACCUCCUGGGAGCGGGUGUCCACCAGGUUGCCUAAGGAGGGGUGAACUGGCCCAGGUCGGAAACGGAGCAGGUCAAAACUCCCGUGAUGAUCAGCAGUGGGAUCGUGCCUGUGAAUAGCCACUGCACUCCAGCCUGGGCAGCAUAGGGAGACCCUGUCUCUU
Callithrix jacchus (white-tufted-ear marmoset) is the source of this 279-nucleotide unclassified non-coding RNA. It matches the Rfam family "Metazoan signal recognition particle RNA". Rfam says of the family: The signal recognition particle (SRP) is a universally conserved ribonucleoprotein. It is involved in the co-translational targeting of proteins to membranes. The eukaryotic SRP consists of a 300-nucleotide 7S RNA and six proteins: SRPs 72, 68, 54, 19, 14, and 9. The record is from Ensembl. NCBI's taxonomy places the organism in Eukaryota, Metazoa, Chordata, Mammalia, Primates, Cebidae.